GGGGGGCGGUGGGAGCCGGGGCCGCCGGGCAGGGGGACGCGAGUGGGGCUUCGGCAAGGGGCUUCAGGCUUUUGCUGUGUCGGUGCGGAGGGAGUGGCUGGGCUGAAUCCUGGGCUGGUUUCCGCUUCUUUGCUUGAGGUGGCUGUAGGGCCCGGCCGGCUGCGCGGGGUGGUGGGAUGGCGGCCCUGUGGGGAUGAGGCGGGGCCCCGCCUGCCCCCCCAGCCCUGCCCGCACCUCGGGCUGGGUGAAGGCGCUAGUAUAGCGCGCUAGUAAGUGCUCAGAGAGAGUUCGUGUCUUGUGGUGGGGUCAACUUAAUAGAACUUGGUUUCUGAAGUGGUGAAUUUCUCCUAAAAGGAGCGUAGAGUAGCUUUGAGGUGUGAGUCCAGCCCCACCGCUUUGUGCUCGGUGUGAGAUCUUGACUUAAUCUGGUAAGGAGGACCUGCAGGGGGGCCUAAAACUGUCUUUGGCACCAGUGGAAGUAGUUAUUAAGUGUUGGUCCGUGUUGGCCGUGGUUCUGAGCUCUUAGUGGUGAGGGCAUGACAGAUGAGAUGCAAUCAGGAGGCUGGGGAGCUAGUGGGACAAUGGCUUACACAGCAAAAUCCAAGCAAGUGUGGAAAUGUAUUGUUGAGUUUAGCAAAAGAAGCAGGGGAAUCACUGAUGUUGCUGAUAACUUGGAUAGUUCUUUUAGCCAGAGUACAGAAAAUAGCAAGUUCACCAUGAUGUUGACUCACCAGAACAUUGAAAGAUACAGAAGGUAUUUUUUGGUUUUAUAGUUUGCGAGUUUUCUGCUCAUUUUUGUCAGGGCAUACAGUUGAUUCCGGUGCAUCAGGCCUCAUCUCUUCACAUAAAGUGUGACGUAAGCCUUUGUCACAAGGAAAAUUCUCUCUUCCCUGAGCAGAGGCAUAAAUCGUUUGCUUAGUGAAUCAUGUAACUACAGACUAUGUCAAUGGCUGUAUAGUAAGUUAAUGUAGUUGUAGUACAGAUUAGUUUUAGAGUUGGUUGGUUUGUUUUAAAUGUAAAUGAGAAAUAAGGAGUUAGUACAUUUACUAAGCCAUUCUUCAGGUUGCUGGUGAUGUUCUCCCUGCCUUAACAGAAAGAUGUAAAGGCUACAGAAUUAAGGAUGUGACAGGCUGGCUUUUAGAGUGGCUUCAUGUGCUAGGAUGCCUUGCAUGACAGCACACUCAAGAAGAACCUCAUCAUGACCAUGUUGACCCCUCGGACACUGUCUUUGGAGCCUUCCUGGUGAACUCUGCCUGUUCAUGCAGAUCAAGAAGAUACUGGACCUUGCAAUGCGCAGAUUGUUACCUUUAUGGAAUUGAGAAUAGGGAUAUAAACGUAGGUAAAAUAAUAAAAAAGUUGAGAAGAGGAAUGAGCAAAGACCUGCUUGCGAGCCUUCACCUUGAAGGCUUGGGCACGCACGUCAGAGGAGUGAAAGGAAUCCCACGGAGAAGGCAGGCAUGGCAAGAGGCUCCCUUGAACCCCUGGGUAUUCAGCACAUGAAUCCCUGAAAAGGCCAGGAUUUCUGCAGGAGAAUACUUUCUUCAGUUACUUUUCGCAGCAAGUAAAGGAGUUGAAGAACAUGGAAAUGCUUGGUAGAAGACACGUGGCUAUGGUGCCAGGUACAGAAAGCAAUCUGGUUGGGUUGGACUGUGCUUACUUACUAUGUGCGGACAUUAAAUAUUCAGUUUAAAUCCACUGAAAAGAGAUAUAAAAGCUUUCCAGAUUUCCCAACUUUCAAAAAUUCCCAUCUCUCCUUAAGGAUGUUCUAAAGCACACUUUCAAUGAAUAGCCCUGAGUGAUUUUUUGUCACAUCAAGAUUCUCAUAGAAAAAUGAAUUAGUAGAAACUUUGGACAAACUUUUCAUUGCAUCUUGCUUCCUAUUGUUGUAGUAUAGCUACUGGACACCAAACCGUGGAGCUACCAGAUGCUGUGUAACCUGUUAAGGAGAGGUGCGCUGAUUCCCGUGGUUCCACAAGUUCCUCAAAAAGACGUCUGGAGAGGCUUUCCGUCACUGGCACGAACGGAGGCAGGCUGCCUAAGGUCUUUCUCAUGGCUAGAGAAAUGAUGCAGAGAUUUUCCCAUGCAGCAAUUCGCGGUGGGGGCAGAGAGUGAGAGUUUCCUGGGAAGAAGCUGCCAGCCUGGCUCCGGAGCUUGGGUCCACUGCAAGCGGCAGGUGAGGAGCGAUCCCUCGCUCCCAGCGGUGCCGUGCGGUGGCACAUCCGCGUCCCUCGGAACGUGCCCAGGCGCGGGGGACGACUGGGAGGAAACACCUGCUCGUCCCUUCGAGCUCUGUUUCAUGCCAAGCCACGGGGAGCUGUCGGUGGCUUUGCAAUGCAUUCGGUCAAUGCUGCGUACUCACAAAUAUUGCUGCUGUCUGUGCUGGGUUUAAUUUGGGGGGGAUUGAAAGAAAGUACCUUGGGAAGGAUUGUACGAGGAGAAGACACAUAAACCUUUCUUCCUGACUCAACUUUGUUAUUUUCGCAAAUGUGGAACACAUUUGGUCUGGCAUCCCGUUUGAUUUGUUUACUGCUUUUGUGUCCCACAUUUGGAGAGGCUUUCCAAAGAUAGAUAUUUCUCUCAUCUGGCCUGGCUCUGUCUUCUGCACAGAAACCCCGGUAUAGGUGGGUGGAGUACACGUCCAGGGUGUUUGGGUGGGCCGUGAAGGGGAACACAGUGAACUUUUGGAAUAACCUGGGCUGUAGUUUCAGGCUUGCCAGUGGUUCAAGUGUAGAAAUUACAGGAUUUGUUUGGGAAAUUAUGUUAGACAAUAUCGGCUAUCGGCCCUUACCUUGGUUGCAUGCAGCUUGCUCUUUACGUGAUCUGCCCCUGGAUGUGGAAUAUUACAGCGCUGUUAUGAAUUAUUCUGUCUGUGUGCUUUGGAAAGUAUGCAAUAUGGCUCAUUUUCAAACAUCACUUCUGUUAUAAAAAUCAGUGGCUCCUACAGUGACCUGAAACUAGUCAGGUAGGAUUUAAAAGAGCAAAGAAUUUCACAAAUGGCUGAUUUGUUACUUCAUUGUGGCAUGUGUAAAUAGUUCUGUGUUUCAAAAAAAUAUUCCCCCCUUGCAUUCUAGAUAAGACUAUUACUAGUUUUUCAUGCAACUGUAAUUCCCAGUUUAGGUGGGAUGUAUUUCAGUCAAAUCAACCUGAAAAGAGGAACAAACCCAUCCUCUCAGCCCAGCUUUUUUCCAGCCAGAGCCCCCUCCCUGGAGUCUUCCUUCUAACCUCCAUCUCAGCUGGCCUUGCCCUUUUCAAAUGCGCUGAGGAAUUAAGCAAGUACUAGCUUCCCUGCCCUCACCACCUGGUAUAUCUGCCAAAAGGGUUGGGAGAUAUAAAAAGGGUGAUUUUUUUCUGCAUAUGCUCUGAGGCUCAGUGUAUAGACCCUGUCAUACCGUAGUCUUUCAGAAAUGCAUUGACUUCACUUGAACACCUCUGUAAUGGCCUAGAAGAAGACACUUUUCCCCAGGAGCUGUUGCCUAGCAUGCAUCAUUCUUGGCAGUAUCUGCAAAUAAACUUAUUGUAAUUGAUUUAAUAAUUUUCAAAUAAAAAAAUUAUGAUAGCUGCGGACAGCUAUAAAUAACAGAAAUGAAACACAUUAUUUGUACUGCGCCUUCACAUGCACUUGUUUAGCUCUUUUUGCUGUUAAGUUAAAACAUCUGUUUCUAUGGAAGUGGAGCAUUCCAUGCAACAAACACAGCACUGGAAGUGACCCACAUAUUAAAUGACAACAUUUGACAAAUUCUAGCAGUUGAUUACUGGGGAGGAGUAGACUGUGGUUAUAAUCAGAGUAAACCAAAAAAAUGUGUACCUUUAUAAACCUAGAGUUUAAAUAAAACAUCUGUACUAAAUCAUGUUUGUAGAACAGCACUGUAGCCAACUACCAGACCAUAUGAUAAUGGGGUGUUUUUAACAAUCCCUAUUUCCAUCGCCAUCUUCCAAAUCAGAUCCAGACAGUGCCCACUGGCAUGAAUUCUGCUGGAAACCAAUUGGGAUAGUGUCAGGCUGCAGUGGAUGCUGUCAGUUUAGAUACAGAUACCCAUAAACUGCUAGUGAUUCCAAUACCUCAUGGAGAUUAUAAGCACAGGUAGAAAUUCAGGUGUAUAUUAGGGUGCUUCAUAGGCUACAGUCUUUUCCAGGCAUAUUUUAACUGAGGCUUACACCCUGGAAAAGGUGGAUAUACUGCAGUGACUGUGGAAUCUUAUUCUUAAGGAAAUGUGAGUGUAUAGCAAGAAAAUGGGUAUUAGAAUUGCAGCAGCAGGUCAGCUGGUGAUAGACCGAGAGUGCUGAGACUGGCACCAAACCCAGGUUUGGCAGCUCACUUAAUGCUUUGAGUCUGUGAAACUGGUAUACAAAAGUCAAGUAAGUACAAUUUUCUUUGAGUGCUUCCUGUUGCUGUUAAGUGGAUACAAAGCAAAAGAAAACUAGUUUAGUCCAUCUCUUUAUGUAGAUUCUUAAAGUGAUAUUCACUAGUAGCAUGUGAACAUACAAAUUUUCUUAUUACUGCAGAAUAUCCCCGAAUUAAUUUAAAAAACCAAAUGCCCAAACUUUUUAUUAGCUUUACAUAGUCACUACAAUCUUCCAAAAACUGAAAAAAAUCCAAACCCACCCUGCAACUACACUGUAUAGUUUUAGGUGUCCUGUAAUAAAGUUGCCAUUGUAUUAGGAAAACCUGUUCAGAAUUCCUUGACCAACAUGAGUGAUACUCAAUAAAAAUUGAACUAUCGAAAGAGUGAAAUAUUACUUGAGUGACACUCAAGAAGUAGUAGUUAAUUGACAUAUGGAAAGUUCUCACUCUGAACAAGUAGAUGAGUGCCAUCUGGCAGGAAUAAAAGGACAGGCUACAUUAACAGGGAAUAAAUAAUAUAAGGAGUGGCAGUGUCUAAAUUUACAUUUAUCGGUUAGCAGGACAUACCUAAAAUACUAUAAUAAUCAAAUUAUCUCAUUACUUAGAGCUAACGUGGCAGGGCAUUAUGUCCAUGAGGAGUUAAUGGGAUUCUUAUUUAAGGGACAAGUUUUUAAGAUAACAUGCAAGUUGUACGAUGAGGAGGUAGGGAAAAAUCUGUACAGUAUUCAUUUAAGAUCUAAUUUUGGUGGAUUUUGGUGUUCCAAUACUUUGUUUUAAACAUUUUAUUUAAGUUUGCAAAUAGUGUAUAAGAAGCUUAAAUACUUAGACCACUGCCAUAAUAGAAAUUGUGACUGAAUUCAAGAAUAACAACAGGAAGGUGGACAACCAGUGCAACCAGUGUGCUUAAAUAUACAAGAAAAUCUGAAAUAAAAAGCUGAAUUUCAUUGAGAUAAACACAAAAAGUGCAGGGGGAUGGGGGGAGCAAGGAAUGUUGAAGCUCAAAAAACUUAGAAAUACAAGAUCAUCUUUGGGUUUAUAUUUUAUUAAAAAUUUUUCAUAGAUUUAUAAAUUGUUAUUUUCACAAGGGACUAUUAGAUCAUCUGGCCUGACUUGAUCUUGUAUAAAAGCAAUGUCUAGAGAGUCUUCUGAGGGGGCUUUUCCUCAAUUUAUUUGAUACUGUAUAACUAACAACAUGCAGUGCUAUUACUCAAAAUGAAACGCUUUGUCAUACAGAUCUUUAAUGAAAUAAUUCUCACAAUAUAUUUCUUGAAUACCCAUUUUUAUGAUGGUGUUUAUUUCAAAAUCCAAUGCAAAACUUAAUUCCUAGUAUUUACCUGAGCUUCAGUUCAAGUUGUUUGCUUCUGGUGCCAUAGCAUAUGACAAACAAAACCACUUGAUUGGGACCAUCUAAAUUUUCCUUAU
Long non-coding RNA from Aquila chrysaetos chrysaetos, 5764 nucleotides. RefSeq lists it as uncharacterized. The record is from RefSeq and is a predicted model, not a curated record. NCBI's taxonomy places the organism in Eukaryota, Metazoa, Chordata, Aves, Accipitriformes, Accipitridae. The transcript has 5 exons.